UACAGAGACCUCAAGCGUUAUCCGGAUUUAUUGGGCGUAAAGAGCAUGUAGGCGGAUAUAUUAGUCAGAUGUCAAAUCUUCGAGCUCAACUCGAAAACUGCAUUUGAAACGGUAUAUCUUGAGGAAGUGAGAGAUCAAUGGAACGUAUGGUGUAGCAGUGAAAUGCGUUGAUAUCAUACGGAACACCAAAGGCGAAGGCAUUUGAUUGGCACUUUUCUGACGCUGAGAUGCGAAAGCGUGGGUAGCGAAUGGGAUUAGAUACCCCAGUAGUCCACGCCGUAAACGAUGCAUACUUGGUAUUACGAGAAUCGACCCUCGUAGUGUCGUAGCUAACGCGUUAAGUAUGCCGCCUGGGAAGUACGAGCGCAAGCUUAAA
RNAcentral lists this ribosomal RNA (376 nucleotides) under uncultured bacterium. Its description in RNAcentral is "bacterial SSU rRNA". It matches the Rfam family "Bacterial small subunit ribosomal RNA", at positions 524 to 898 of the family's 1533-position model. The record is from RNAcentral.